Long non-coding RNA from Oncorhynchus tshawytscha (Chinook salmon), 685 nucleotides. NCBI's taxonomy places the organism in Eukaryota, Metazoa, Chordata, Actinopteri, Salmoniformes, Salmonidae. The record is from Ensembl.
UGAAACCCGACAGGGCAGAGAGGAUAUGAUUGAUCACGACAGGGUACAGAGGGUAUAAUUGAUACCAACAGGGCAGUGAGGGAGGUAUUAAUACCGACAGGGCAGAGAAGGUAUGAUUGAUACCGACAGGGCAGAGAGGGUAUGAUUGAUACCGACAGGGCAGAGAGGGAGGUAUUGAUACCGACAGGGCAGAGAGGGAGGUAGUGAUACUGACAGGGCAGAGAGGGAGGUAUUGAUACCGACAGGGCAGAGAGGGUAUGAUUGAUACCGACAGGGCAGAGAGGGAGGUAUUGAUACCGACAGGGCAGAGAGGGAGGUAUUGAUACUGAUAGGGCAGAGAGGAGGUAUUGAUACUGACAGGGCAGAGAGGGAGGUAUUGAUACUGAUAGGGCAGAGAGGGAGGUAUUGAUACCGACAGGGCAGAGAGGGAGGUAUUGAUACUGAUAGGGCAGAGAGGGAGUGCUAAAAGAAAUAAUAACUUUCAAGGAAGAAGCAGGAGGCUGCAAUACAACUGUUUAAAGAGUCUGUCCAAGUAAAGGAGAGAAAAUGUAAAGGGGGAGAGGUGGUUUCUCUGGUUCUAUGAAGGGAGUGAACUUGAAAAAGGAAUGGAAUUUGGGGCGGUAGAGGACAGACUAGCAUAGCAUUCCUACUCCCUUGUGGGCUGAGGUAAGCUACAGUAUACAGG